GGGUUGUGAGGUUAAGCGACUAAGCGUACACGGUGGAUGCCCUGGCAGUCAGAGGCGAUGAAGGACGUGCUAAUCUGCGAAAAGCGUCGGUAAGGUGAUAUGAACCGUUACAGCCGGCGAUGUCCGAAUGGGGAAACCCAGUGCAAUUCGUUGCACUAUCGUUAACUGAAUACAUAGGUUAACGAGGCGAACCGGGGGAACUGAAACAUCUAAGUACCCCGAGGAAAAGAAAUCAACCGAGAUUCCCCCAGUAGCGGCGAGCGAACGGGGAGCAGCCCAGAGUCUGAAUCAGCUUGUGUGUUAGUGGAACGGUCUGGAAAGUCCGACGGUACAGGGUGAUAGUCCCGUACACCAAAAUGCACAGGUUGUGAACUCGAAGAGUAGGGCGGGACACGUGGUAUCCUGUCUGAAUAUGGGGGGACCAUCCUCCAAGGCUAAAUACUCCUGACUGACCGAUAGUGAACCAGUACCGUGAGGGAAAGGCGAAAAGAACCCCGGCGAGGGGAGUGAAAAAGAACCUGAAACCGUGUACGUACAAGCAGUGGGAGCACCUUCGGGUGUGACUGCGUACCUUUUGUAUAAUGGGUCAGCGACUUAUAUUCUGUAGCAAGGUUAACCGUAUAGGGGAGCCGCAGGGAAACCGAGUCUUAACUGGGCGUUAAGUUGCAGGGUAUAGACCCGAAACCCGGUGAUCUAGCCAUGGGCAGGUUGAAGGUUGGGUAACACUAACUGGAGGACCGAACCGACUAAUGUUGAAAAAUUAGCGGAUGACUUGUGGCUGGGGGUGAAAGGCCAAUCAAACCGGGAGAUAGCUGGUUCUCCCCGAAAGCUAUUUAGGUAGCGCCUCGUGAACUCAUCUUCGGGGGUAGAGCACUGUUUCGGCUAGGGGGUCAUCCCGACUUACCAACCCGAUGCAAACUACGAAUACCGAAGAAUGUUAUCACGGGAGACACACGGCGGGUGCUAACGUCCGUCGUGAAGAGGGAAACAACCCAGACCGCCAGCUAAGGUCCCAAAGUCACAGUUAAGUGGGAAACGAUGUGGGAAGGCACAGACAGCCAGGAUGUUGGCUUAGAAGCAGCCAUCAUUUAAAGAAAGCGUAAUAGCUCACUGGUCGAGUCGGCCUGCGCGGAAGAUGUAACGGGGCUAAACUGUGCACCGAAGCUGCGGCAGCGACACUUAGGUGUUGUUGGGUAGGGGAGCGUUCUGUAAGCCUGCGAAGGUGGCCUGUGAGGGUUGCUGGAGGUAUCAGAAGUGCGAAUGCUGACAUAAGUAACGAUAAUGCGGGUGAAAAGCCCGCACGCCGGAAGACCAAGGGUUCCUGUCCAACGUUAAUCGGGGCAGGGUGAGUCGACCCCUAAGGCGAGGCCGAAAGGCGUAGUCGAUGGGAAACAGGUUAAUAUUCCUGUACUUGGUGUUACUGCGAAGGGGGGACGGAGAAGGCUAUGUUAGCCGGGCGACGGUUGUCCCGGUUUAAGCAUGUAGGCGGAGGUUCCAGGUAAAUCCGGUACCUUUUAACGCUGAGGUGUGAUGACGAGGCACUACGGUGCUGAAGUAACAAAUGCCCUGCUUCCAGGAAAAGCCUCUAAGCAUCAGGUAACAUUGAAUCGUACCCCAAACCGACACAGGUGGUCAGGUAGAGAAUACCAAGGCGCUUGAGAGAACUCGGGUGAAGGAACUAGGCAAAAUGGUGCCGUAACUUCGGGAGAAGGCACGCUGAUAUGUAGGUGAAGCCCCUGCGGGUGGAGCUGAAAUCAGUCGAAGAUACCAGCUGGCUGCAACUGUUUAUUAAAAACACAGCACUGUGCAAACACGAAAGUGGACGUAUACGGUGUGACGCCUGCCCGGUGCCGGAAGGUUAAUUGAUGGGGUUAUCCGUAAGGAGAAGCUCUUGAUCGAAGCCCCGGUAAACGGCGGCCGUAACUAUAACGGUCCUAAGGUAGCGAAAUUCCUUGUCGGGUAAGUUCCGACCUGCACGAAUGGCGUAAUGAUGGCCAGGCUGUCUCCACCCGAGACUCAGUGAAAUUGAACUCGCUGUGAAGAUGCAGUGUACCCGCGGCAAGACGGAAAGACCCCGUGAACCUUUACUAUAGCUUGACACUGAACAUUGAGCCUUGAUGUGUAGGAUAGGUGGGAGGCUUUGAAGCGUGGACGCCAGUCUGCGUGGAGCCAACCUUGAAAUACCACCCUUUAAUGUUUGAUGUUCUAACGUUGGCCCCUGACCGGGGUUGCGGACAGUGUCUGGUGGGUAGUUUGACUGGGGCGGUCUCCUCCCAAAGAGUAACGGAGGAGCACGAAGGUUAGCUAAUCCUGGUCGGACAUCAGGAGGUUAGUGCAAUGGCAUAAGCUAGCUUGACUGCGAGCGUGACGGCGCGAGCAGGUGCGAAAGCAGGUCAUAGUGAUCCGGUGGUUCUGAAUGGAAGGGCCAUCGCUCAACGGAUAAAAGGUACUCCGGGGAUAACAGGCUGAUACCGCCCAAGAGUUCAUAUCGACGGCGGUGUUUGGCACCUCGAUGUCGGCUCAUCACAUCCUGGGGCUGAAGUAGGUCCCAAGGGUAUGGCUGUUCGCCAUUUAAAGUGGUACGCGAGCUGGGUUUAGAACGUCGUGAGACAGUUCGGUCCCUAUCUGCCGUGGGCGCUGGAGAAUUGAGGGGGGCUGCUCCUAGUACGAGAGGACCGGAGUGGACGCAUCACUGGUGUUCGGGUUGUCAUGCCAAUGGCAUUGCCCGGUAGCUAAAUGCGGAAGAGAUAAGUGCUGAAAGCAUCUAAGCACGAAACUUGCCCCGAGAUGAGUUCUCCCUGACUCCUUGAGAGUCCUGAAGGAACGUUAAAGACGAUGACGUUGAUAGGUCGGGUGUGUAAGCGUAGCGAUACGUUGAGCUAACCGAUACUAAUGAACCGUGAGGCUUAACCUUACAACGCCGAAGGUGUUU
RNAcentral lists this ribosomal RNA (2932 nucleotides) under Klebsiella aerogenes. RNAcentral describes it as "bacterial LSU rRNA". It matches the Rfam family "Bacterial large subunit ribosomal RNA". Lineage: Bacteria; Pseudomonadati; Pseudomonadota; Gammaproteobacteria; Enterobacterales; Enterobacteriaceae. The record is from RNAcentral.